UACGUAGGGUGCAAGCGUUGUCCGGAAUUAUUGGGCGUAAAGAGCUCGUAGGCGGUCUGUUACGUCGGCUGUGAAAACCUAGGGCUCAACCCUGGGCCUGCAGCCGAUACGGGCAGACUAGAAUUCGGUAGGGGAGACCGGAAUUCCUGGUGUAGCGGUGAAAUGCGCAGAUAUCAGGAGGAACACCGGUGGCGAAGGCGGGUCUCUGGGCCGAUAUUGACGCUGAGGAGCGAAAGCGUGGGGAGCGAACAGG
This 253-nucleotide ribosomal RNA is filed under the name uncultured bacterium. RNAcentral's name for it is "partial 16S ribosomal RNA". It matches the Rfam family "Bacterial small subunit ribosomal RNA", at positions 524 to 776 of the family's 1533-position model. The record is from RNAcentral.